AUUGAACGCUGGCGGCAGGCCUAACACAUGCAAGUCGAACGGUAACAGGAAGCAGCUUGCUGCUUUGCUGACGAGUGGCGGACGGGUGAGUAAUGUCUGGGAAACUGCCUGAUGGAGGGGGAUAACUACUGGGAACGGUAGCUAAUACCGCAUAACGUCGCAAGACCAAAGAGGGGGACCUUCGGGCCUCUUGCCAUCGGAUGUGCCCAGAUGGGAUUAGCUAGUAGGUGGGGUAACGGCUCACCUAGGCGACGAUCCCUAGCUGGUCUGAGAGGAUGACCAGCCACACUGGAACUGAGACACGGUCCAGACUCCUACGGGAGGCAGCAGUGGGGAAUAUUGCACAAUGGGCGCAAGCCUGAUGCAGCCAUGCCGCGUGUAUGAAGAAGGCCUUCGGGUUGUAAAGUACUUUCAGCGGGGAGGAAGGGAGUAAAGUUAAUACCUUUGCUCAUUGACGUUACCCGCAGAAGAAGCACCGGCUAACUCCGUG
This 490-nucleotide ribosomal RNA is filed under the name uncultured bacterium. RNAcentral's name for it is "partial 16S ribosomal RNA". It matches the Rfam family "Bacterial small subunit ribosomal RNA", at positions 30 to 507 of the family's 1533-position model. The record is from RNAcentral.